Molecule: long non-coding RNA, 220 nt
Organism: Myiozetetes cayanensis
Lineage: Eukaryota; Metazoa; Chordata; Aves; Passeriformes; Tyrannidae
Exons: 3
Source: RefSeq, a predicted model, not a curated record
CACCACACUGCAAUUAUGAACAUUGGAAGAUUCUGACAGUCUCACAUGAGAAGCAGUUUUCAGAGGUGGCUGUGUAGUGGUAUCCUGGAUUAGUAUCAACAAGAAAAUGCCAGCAGAUGACUAGGUUGUCAGAAGCCUGCCUAUUUAAACGCCAAUCUAAUACACUGGAACUGGUUUUGAUACAUGUCAAGUAGAACUGAAAUCCUUGGUUCAUUUAAGG